AACGAACGCUGGCGGCGUGGAUUAGGCAUGCAAGUCGAGCGGGAUCUAUCGAAGCUUGCUUUGAUAGUGAGAGCGGCGAACGGGUGAGGAAUACAUGGGUAAUCUGCCUUUUAGUCUGGAAUAGCUUCGGGAAACUGGAGGUAAUGCCGGAUGUGAUCGGUCACCAUAAGGUGAUUUGUUUAAAGAGGGGGAUCUUCGGACCUCUCGCUAAGAGAUGGGCCCAUGUCCUAUCAGCUAGUUGGUGAGGUAAUGGCUCACCAAGGCUAUGACGGGUAGCUGGUCUGAGAGGAUGGUCAGCCACACUGGGACUGAGACACUGCCCAGACUCCUACGGGAGCUGCAGUCGAGAAUCAUUCACAAUGCACGAAAGUGUGAUGAUGCGACGCCGCGUGAAGGAUGAAGGCCCUAGGGUCGUAAACUUCUGUCAGAAGGAAAAACAGCACUUGGAUAA
Molecule: ribosomal RNA, 451 nt
Filed under: uncultured bacterium
Lineage: Bacteria
Description: bacterial SSU rRNA
Rfam family: Bacterial small subunit ribosomal RNA
Source: RNAcentral